Molecule: long non-coding RNA, 210 nt
Organism: Austrofundulus limnaeus
Lineage: Eukaryota; Metazoa; Chordata; Actinopteri; Cyprinodontiformes; Rivulidae
Exons: 3
Source: RefSeq, a predicted model, not a curated record
CAGGACGAGCCUGACUCCUCCAUCCGAUUUUGAAAAAACUGGAGCAAGAACAUGAGAAGGUGGCCAAAUAAUACGAGCACGACAAAAAUCCAACGGGCGAUAAAGGACAAAAAUCAACCCUGUUAAGCGUCAGCAAUGUGAAAAUUAUAACCUGCCCAGUCAAGCAGAAGAUGAUGAUGAUGAUGAUGAUGGUGAUGAUGAUGAUGAUGA